UGUGCGUCGUAGUCCGGAUUGGAGUCUGCAACUCGACUCCAUGAAGUCGGAAUCGCUAGUAAUCGUGGAUCAGAAUGCCACGGUGAAUACGUUCCCGGGCCUUGUACACACCGCCCGUCACACCAUGGGAGUGGGUUGCAAAAGAAGUAGGUAGCUUAACCUUCGGGAGGGCGCUUACCACUUUGUGAUUCAUGACUGGGGUGAAGUCGUAACAAGGUAACCGUAGGGGAACCUGCGGUUGGAUCACCUCCUUA
Molecule: ribosomal RNA, 254 nt
Filed under: Enterobacter hormaechei
Lineage: Bacteria; Pseudomonadati; Pseudomonadota; Gammaproteobacteria; Enterobacterales; Enterobacteriaceae
Description: partial 16S ribosomal RNA
Rfam family: Bacterial small subunit ribosomal RNA
Source: RNAcentral